UCUAAUGUGGCAGAAUAAUGCAAUGAAUUUAAGAUUCAUAAAUAAAGAAUACUUCUUUCUUUAGAA
Molecule: transfer RNA, 66 nt
Filed under: Megacopta distanti
Lineage: Eukaryota; Metazoa; Arthropoda; Insecta; Hemiptera; Plataspidae
Description: tRNA-Leu
Source: RNAcentral